CCUACGGGUGGCAGCAGUGAGGAAUAUUGGUCAAUGGGCGCGAGCCUGAUCCAGCCACGUAGCGUGAAGGAUGACUGCUCUACGGGUUGUAAACUCCUUUUAUAAAGGAGUAAAUUAAGGCACGUGUGCCUUUUUGUAUGUACUUUAUGAAUAAGGAUCGGCUAACUACGUGCCAGCAGCCGCGGUAAUACGGAGGAUCCGAGCGUUAUCCGGAUUUAUUGGGUGUAACGGGCGCGUAGAUGGGUUGUUAAGUCAGUUGUGAAAGUUUGCGGCUCAACCGUAAAAUUGCAAUUGAUACUGGCAGUCUUGAGUACAGUUGAGGUAGGCGGAAUUCGUGGUGUAGCGGUGAAAUGCUUAGAUAUCACGAAGAACACCGAUUGCGAAGGCAGCUUACUAAACUGCCACUGACAUUGAUGCUCGAAAGUGUGGGUAGCAAACAGGAUUAGAUACCCCUGUAGUC
RNAcentral lists this ribosomal RNA (460 nucleotides) under uncultured bacterium. Its description in RNAcentral is "partial 16S ribosomal RNA". It matches the Rfam family "Bacterial small subunit ribosomal RNA", at positions 338 to 795 of the family's 1533-position model. The record is from RNAcentral.